UGGCUCAGGAUGAACGCUGGCGGCGUGCUUAACACAUGCAAGUCGAACGAGGGUUAUCGGUUGAAGUUUCGGAUGGAAACUGAUAAUCCUAGUGGCGGACGGGUGAGUAACGCGUGGGGAACCUCGCCCAUUCCGGGGGAUACCAGUUGGAAACGACUGUUAAUACCGCAUAAGCGCACAGCAUUGCAUGAUGCAGUGUAGAAAAAACUCCGGGUAGGAAGUGGGAUCGGCCCCGCGUCUGAUUAGCCAGUUGGCAGGGUAACGGCCUACCAAAGCGACGAUCAGUAGCCGGCCUGAGAGGGCGACCGGCCACAUUGGGACUGAGACACGGACCCAAACUCCGUACGGGAGGCAGCAGGUGGGGAAUAUUGCACAAUGGGGGAAACCCUGAUGCAGCGAACCGCCGCGUGAGUGAAGAAGUAUUUCGGUAUGUAAAGCUCUAUCAGCAGGGAAGAAGAUGACGGUACCUGCACAAGAAGCCCCGGCUAACUACGUGCCAGCCGCUGC
RNAcentral lists this ribosomal RNA (507 nucleotides) under uncultured bacterium. RNAcentral's name for it is "bacterial SSU rRNA". It matches the Rfam family "Bacterial small subunit ribosomal RNA", at positions 20 to 518 of the family's 1533-position model. The record is from RNAcentral.